UACAGAGGUCUCAAGCGUUGUUCGGAUUCAUUGGGCGUAAAGGGUGCGUAGGCGGCGCGGUAAGUCGGGUGUGAAAUCUUGGAGCUUAACUCCGAAACUGCAUUCGAUACUGCCGUGCUUGAGGACUGGAGAGGAGACUGGAAUUUACGGUGUAGCGGUGAAAUGCGUAGAUAUCGUAAGGAAGACCAGUGGCGAAGGCGGGUCUCUGGACAGUUCCUGACGCUGAGGCACGAAGGUGAGGGGAGCAAACGGG
RNAcentral lists this ribosomal RNA (253 nucleotides) under uncultured bacterium. RNAcentral's name for it is "partial 16S ribosomal RNA". It matches the Rfam family "Bacterial small subunit ribosomal RNA", at positions 524 to 776 of the family's 1533-position model. The record is from RNAcentral.